RNAcentral lists this ribosomal RNA (506 nucleotides) under uncultured bacterium. RNAcentral's name for it is "partial 16S ribosomal RNA". It matches the Rfam family "Bacterial small subunit ribosomal RNA", at positions 29 to 523 of the family's 1533-position model. The record is from RNAcentral.
AGUGAACGCUGGCGGUAGGCCUAACACAUGCAAGUCGAACGGCAGCACAGAGGAGCUUGCUCCUUGGGUGGCGAGUGGCGGACGGGUGAGGAAUACAUCGGAAUCUACUCUGUCGUGGGGGAUAACGUAGGGAAACUUACGCUAAUACCGCAUACAACCUACGGGUGAAAGCAGGGGACCUUCGGGCCUUGCGCGAUUGAAUGAGCCGAUGUCGGAUUAGCUAGUUGGCGGGGUAAAGGCCCACCAAGGCGACGACCCGUAGCUGGUCUGAGAGGAUGAUCAGCCACACUGGAACUGAGACACGGUCCAGACUCCUACGGGAGGCAGCAGUGGGGAAUAUUGGACAAUGGGCGCAAGCCUGAUCCAGCCAUACCGCGUGGGUGAAGAAGGCCUUCGGGUUGUAAAGCCCUUUUGUUGGGAAAGAAAUCCAGCUGGCUAAUACCCGGUUGGGAUGACGGUACCCAAAGAAUAAGCACCGGCUAACUUCGUGCCAGCCGCCGCAGUAA